UGCCAAGUUGAAUAGUUGUUUACUAUAUGG
Molecule: non-coding RNA, 30 nt
Filed under: Mus musculus (house mouse)
Lineage: Eukaryota; Metazoa; Chordata; Mammalia; Rodentia; Muridae
Source: RNAcentral